UUGGACCCACAUAGCCACAUAAGAAGCGAAGGGGCAACUGAAAGGCAAAGAACUCAGCUGAAACGAUGGCUUGAGAAAGCAGUGCUGCUCUUCAGACAAUGUUUGUUGACUACAGCUUGCUGUGAAAACAGUGGCAGACAGACGGGCUUGCACACUGUACCUGAGGGCGACUGGAUCUUUCAGAGCAAAGCUGAACUGUGCAUAGUCCUCAAAGAGAAAGGAGAUUCUGAGACUGCUGAGUGUAAUCUUUCAUCUGCCAAGAAAAACUUUGCUUCUACACCAAACCAAGACCUUGAAUUUCAAACCCUGAGGAUGACAGUCCCCAGCUGCUCCUGAGACAGGCCUAUUGUCGGUUUCCCAGAAACUUGUCAAGCAUCCCGAGGACGAAAGACCUAUCUAAAAACAACAGGAACUGGGCAUGAGCUGAUUAUAGGAAUCUCAUCUUUGGGAAAUUUCAAUUACUUUGAACUUCCCCACCAGCAUGGCUUUUCCUUUAUUGGAGCAAAACAAGUCAAAAGAUACAAGCAAGGCACAUGUGAUUAAUUCUCAGAAAGCAAAACAGGUUAAUGUGUAAAACAUCCCUGGGAGCAAAAAAAAAAGCUCUUUAUCUUUUAUAGAACAUAAAAACAUUUUCCACUUGGCAAAUUGUGUUCCUUUAAAAAUAGCGCAGAGUCAUGUGGUAUAAAAUGAGAAGAGAGACAGGAAAGUGUUCUAACAUGUUUUCAGAAAGUUAUGAAUUGAAUUUCAUCUGGAUGCCGAACCUGAAGAAAGACACUCUGUGAUUUUUAGAAAGUAUUUUUGACUCAUGAAAAUUCAUUAUAAUUGUUUCUUAACAAUUUUAAAAAAAACGAACAGAACUAUGCCAUACAGAAAUUUAAAUAAAAUUUUGGCAAGAAAUACACU
This 903-nucleotide long non-coding RNA is filed under the name Chinchilla lanigera (long-tailed chinchilla). RNAcentral's name for it is "lncRNA (ENSCLAG00000022588.1)". Lineage: Eukaryota; Metazoa; Chordata; Mammalia; Rodentia; Chinchillidae. The record is from RNAcentral.